UCAUCUUCGGGGGUAGAGCACUGUUUCGGCUAGGGGGUCAUCCCGACUUACCAACCCGAUGCAAACUACGAAUACCGAAGAAUGUUAUCACGGGAGACACACGGCGGGUGCUAACGUCCGUCGUGAAGAGGGAAACAACCCAGACCGCCAGCUAAGGUCCCAAAGUCAUGGUUAAGUGGGAAACGAUGUGGGAAGGCCCAGACAGCCAGGAUGUUGGCUUAGAAGCAGCCAUCAUUUAAAGAAAGCGUAAUAGCUCACUGGUCGAGUCGGCCUGCGCGGAAGAUGUAACGGGGCUAAACCAUGCACCGAAGCUGCGGCAGCGACGCUUAUGCGUUGUUGGGUAGGGGAGCGUUCUGUAAGCCGUUGAAGGUGGCCUGUGAGGGUUGCUGGAGGUAUCAGAAGUGCGAAUGCUGACAUAAGUAACGAUAAUGCGGGUGAAAAACCCGCACGCCGGAAGACCAAGGGUUCCUGUCCAACGUUAAUCGGGGCAGGGUGAGUCGACCCCUAAGGCGAGGCCGAAAGGCGUAGUCGAUGGGAAACAGGUUAAUAUUCCUGUACUUGGUGUUACUGCGAAGGGGGGACGGAGAAGGCUAUGUUGGCCGGGCGACGGUUGUCCCGGUUUAAGCAUGUAGGCGGAUGUUCCAGGUAAAUCCGGAACGUUAUUAACGCUGAGGUGUGAUGACGAGGCACUACGGUGCUGAAGUGACAAAUGCCCUGCUUCCAGGAAAAGCCUCUAAGCAUCAGGUAACAUCAAAUCGUACCCCAAACCGACACAGGUGGUCAGGUAGAGAAUACCAAGGCGCUUGAGAGAACUCGGGUGAAGGAACUAGGCAAAAUGGUGCCGUAACUUCGGGAGAAGGCACGCUGAUGGUAGGUGAAGCGACUUGCUCGUGGAGCUGAAAUCAGUCGAAGAUACCAGCUGGCUGCAACUGUUUAUUAAAAACACAGCACUGUGCAAACACGAAAGUGGACGUAUACGGUGUGACGCCUGCCCGGUGCCGGAAGGUUAAUUGAUGGGGUUAUCCUCGCGGAGAAGCUCUUGAUCGAAGCCCCGGUAAACGGCGGCCGUAACUAUAACGGUCCUAAGGUAGCGAAAUUCCUUGUCGGGUAAGUUCCGACCUGCACGAAUGGCGUAAUGAUGGCCAGGCUGUCUCCACCCGAGACUCAGUGAAAUUGAACUCGCUGUGAAGAUGCAGUGUACCCGCGGCAAGACGGAAAGACCCCGUGAACCUUUACUAUAGCUUGACACUGAACACUGGUCCUUGAUGUGUAGGAUAGGUGGGAGGCUUUGAAGUGUGGACGCCAGUCUGCAUGGAGCCGUCCUUGAAAUACCACCCUUUAAUGGCUGGUGUUCUAACGUGGGCCCGUGAUCCGGGUUGCGGACAGUGUCUGGUGGGUAGUUUGACUGGGGCGGUCUCCUCCUAAAGAGUAACGGAGGAGCACGAAGGUCAGCUAAUCCUGGUCGGACAUCAGGAGGUUAGUGCAAUGGCAUAAGCUGGCUUGACUGCGAGCGUGACGGCGCGAGCAGGUGCGAAAGCAGGUCAUAGUGAUCCGGUGGUUCUGAAUGGAAGGGCCAUCGCUCAACGGAUAAAAGGUACUCCGGGGAUAACAGGCUGAUACCGCCCAAGAGUUCAUAUCGACGGCGGUGUUUGGCACCUCGAUGUCGGCUCAUCACAUCCUGGGGCUGAAGUAGGUCCCAAGGGUAUGGCUGUUCGCCAUUUAAAGUGGUACGCGAGCUGGGUUUAGAACGUCGUGAGACAGUUCGGUCCCUAUCUGCCGUGGGCGCUGGAGAAUUGAGGGGGGCUGCUCCUAGUACGAGAGGACCGGAGUGGACGCAUCACUGGUGUUCGGGUUGUCAUGCCAAUGGCAUUGCCCGGUAGCUAAAUGCGGAAGAGAUAAGUGCUGAAAGCAUCUAAGCACGAAACUUGCCCCGAGAUGAGUUCUCCCUGACUCUUUGAGGGUCCUGAAGGAACGUUGAAGACGACGACGUUGAUAGGCCGGGUGUGUAAGCGCAGCGAUGCGUUGAGCUAACCGGUACUAAUGAACCGUGAGGCUUAACCUU
Molecule: ribosomal RNA, 2062 nt
Filed under: Klebsiella oxytoca 10-5248
Lineage: Bacteria; Pseudomonadati; Pseudomonadota; Gammaproteobacteria; Enterobacterales; Enterobacteriaceae
Description: bacterial LSU rRNA
Rfam family: Bacterial large subunit ribosomal RNA
Source: RNAcentral